GCUGGGGUAGCGAAGUGGUCAAACGCAGCGGUCUGUAAAACCGUAGCCUUAAAGCUUCGAAGGUUCGAAUCCUGCCCCCAGCA
This 83-nucleotide transfer RNA is filed under the name Candidatus Gottesmanbacteria bacterium. RNAcentral's name for it is "tRNA-Tyr". It matches the Rfam family "tRNA". Rfam says of the family: Transfer RNA (tRNA) molecules are approximately 80 nucleotides in length. Their secondary structure includes four short double-helical elements and three loops (D, anti-codon, and T loops). Lineage: Bacteria; Candidatus Gottesmaniibacteriota. The record is from RNAcentral.